AUACUUACCUGCAGGGAGAUACCAUGAUCUGGAAGGUGGUUUGCCCAGUGCAAGGCUCAUCUCUUGCACUCCUGGUGUGCUGAACCCUGCAGUUUCCCCAAACGUGGGAAACUUGAUGGCAUAACUCAUGGUAGUAGGGGACUGUGUUCACCCUUUCUCCUA
This is a small nuclear RNA of Myotis lucifugus (little brown bat), 162 nucleotides long. Its record names the gene U1. It matches the Rfam family "U1 spliceosomal RNA". Rfam says of the family: U1 is a small nuclear RNA (snRNA) component of the spliceosome (involved in pre-mRNA splicing). Its 5' end forms complementary base pairs with the 5' splice junction, thus defining the 5' donor site of an intron. There are significant differences in sequence and secondary structure between metazoan and yeast U1 snRNAs, the latter being much longer (568 nucleotides as compared to 164 nucleotides in human). The record is from Ensembl. NCBI's taxonomy places the organism in Eukaryota, Metazoa, Chordata, Mammalia, Chiroptera, Vespertilionidae.